This 388-nucleotide long non-coding RNA is filed under the name Medicago truncatula (barrel medic). Its description in RNAcentral is "long non-coding RNA (MTRU_LNC006282)". Lineage: Eukaryota; Viridiplantae; Streptophyta; Magnoliopsida; Fabales; Fabaceae. The record is from RNAcentral.
UAUUUGAAUAAUUGAUUAGUGAAUUGCUAGUUUUGAUCUAAGUAGUAUUUUCUCAAUAGAUUAAUCUAAAUCCUUUUGAUUUAGGUUAAAACAAUUUCACUUGGAUCAAUUAAUUGCAAUAUCGAUUCAAUUAUUCAAAUUCUUGUGUUUCGUGUUUUCAAUUGAUAAUAAGGUUUAUUGUCAUAUAUGUUUGGUUUGAAAUUGUAUAUUGUUUUGUAUCUUGUUUAAGGAUUGUUAAUAAUUGAUUGUGUCAAAAGAUUUGUAUCGUGAAUCUCUCAAUUCUGAGAUAAAAUCUUAUUCCACAUAUAUUUGUUAUUUGUUAAUUCAUUGGUUGUGAUUGUUCAAGCAAAUUUCAAAUAGUCAAUUUCAAUAAAACUUGUUUUUAUCA